AAAAUAUUUGAAAGAGAACAUUUGAACCCCCUAAAACAACAGGAUCGCAUCCAGGUUACAGUAUUGAAAUUAGAAUCCACCGCUAAUUACUAUACAACAUCUCUUACCAAAUCAGAUCAUCUUCGAUAAGAAGAAUCACUGCCCAUCUAUUCCAGCUAUGACUUACAUCUGAAUCUUGAUAGCUCAACUCUAGCUAGCACCAGCCUUAUAAUCUUCCUGGACACUUCUCAACCACUGGAUCCUUAAAACCUCUGACUCCUCGUCUAGCCUUAGCCUUACUCGCAAU
RNAcentral lists this long non-coding RNA (286 nucleotides) under Daucus carota (carrot). Its description in RNAcentral is "long non-coding RNA (DCAR_LNC003713)". The record is from RNAcentral. Lineage: Eukaryota; Viridiplantae; Streptophyta; Magnoliopsida; Apiales; Apiaceae.